Molecule: ribosomal RNA, 1543 nt
Filed under: uncultured bacterium
Lineage: Bacteria
Description: bacterial SSU rRNA
Rfam family: Bacterial small subunit ribosomal RNA
Source: RNAcentral
AACGAAACGCUGGCGGCAGGCUUAACACAUGCAAGUUCGCACGAGAACGCUCUGGCUUUCGGCCGGGGCAAGUACAGUGGCGGAACGGGUGCGUAUCGCGUAGAUAACCUGCCCUCAGGCGCGGGACAAUCACGGGAAACCGUGGCUAAUACCGCACGUCGUCUGGACCCCGCAUGGGGACCAGAUGAAAGCUUGGGGUUACCCAGGCGCCUUUGGAUGGGUCUGCGUUGGAUUAGCUUGUUGGUGAGGCAACGGCUCACCAAGGCGACGAUCCAUAGCUGGUCUGAGAGGACGAUCAGCCACACUGGGACUGAGACACGGCCCAGACUCCUACGGGAGGCAGCAGUGGGGAAUCUUGCACAAUGGGGUCACCCCUGAUGCAGCCAUGCCGCGUGGAGGAAGACACCCCUAUGGGGCGUAAACUCCUUUUCUGAACGAAGAAACCCCUGUAGGUUCAGGGCGCGACGGUAGUUCAGGAAUAAGCACCGGCUAACUCCGUGCCAGCAGCCGCGGUAAUACGGAGGGUGCAAGCGUUGUCCGGAAUCACUGGGUGUAAAGGGUGCGCAGGCGGGGCAGCAAGUCGGAUGUGAAACCCCAUGGCUCAACCAUGGAGGUGCAUUCGAAACUGUUGCUCUUGAGUCCCGGAGAGGCUGUCGGAAUUCGUGGUGUAGCGGUGAAAUGCGUAGAUAUCACGAGGAACACCAGAGGCGAAAGCGGGCAGCUGGACGGGUACUGACGCUCAGGCACGAAAGCGUGGGGAGCAAACAGGAUUAGAUACCCUGGUAGUCCACGCCGUAAAAGAUGAAACGCUUCGCCGUUGCCCCGCUCAAAGGGGGCAGUGGCUAAAGUUAACGCGUUAAGCGUUCCACCUGGGGAGUAGAAUCGCAAAGGGUUGAAAAUCAAAGGAAAUUGGAGGGGGGCCCGGCAACAAAGCGGUGGAGCAAUGUGGCUCAAAUUCGAUGGCAAACGGAAGGAACCCUUACCUAGGGCUGAAACGCUAGAAGGACCGGCUCCUGAAAGAGGAGGCUUUCCCCUUUGGGGCCUCUAGCGAGGUACUGCAUGAGCUGUUCGUUCAAGCUCGUGUCGUGAGAUGUUGGGUUGAAGUCCCGCAACGAGGCGGUAAACCCCUGUUGCUAGUUACCAUCGGGUAGUGCCGGGAACUCUAGCGAAAACUGCCUGCGCGAAGCAGUGAGAAAGGUGGGAAUGACGUCGAAGUCUUCAUGGUCCUUACGCCUAGAGGCUGCACACGUGCUACGAAUGGCCGGUACGAACGGGUAGCCGACCUCGCGAGAGGAAGCGAAAUCCCUGAAAAACCGGUCCCGAGUUUCGGAUUGGAGUCUGCGAACUCGAACUCCAUGAAAGCAGGAAUCGCUAGUGAAUCGCGGAUCAGCGAAUGCCGCGGUGAAAUCCGUUCCCGGGCUUUGUACACACCGCCCGUCAAAGCCAUGGAAAGCUGAGAGCACCCGAAAGUCCGUGUACUCAAACUCCGGCCUUGCGUCGGAGAGAGAAGCGGCCGAAAGGUGAAGCUCAAGUAACUGGGGCU